GACGAACGCUGGCGGCGCGCUUAACACAUGCAAGUCGAACGGAAAGGCCUGCUUUCCCUUGUGGAUUGCGGGUACUCGAGUGGCGAACGGGUGAGUAACACGUGAGUGAUCUGCCCCCAACUUGGGUAUAAGCCUGGGAAACUGGGUCUAAUUCCCGAUAGGACUGCAGGGUGGUGCCUGUGGUGGAAAACGAUUUUCUAGUGGUUGGGGAUGAGCUCGCGGCCUAUCAGCUUGUUGGUGGGGUAAUGGCCUACCAAGGCGGCGACGGGUAGCCGGCCUGGGAGGGUGGGCGGCCACAUUGGGACUGAGAUACGGCCCAGAAUCCUACGGGAGGCAGCAGUGGGGAAUAUUGCACAAUGGGCGGAAGCCUGAUGCAGCGACGCCGCGUGGGGGAUGACGGCCUUCGGGUUGUAAACUCCUUUCGACCGCGAGGAAGCCACCUGGUUGGAAGGGUGGUGACGGUAGUGGUAGAAGAAGCACCGGCUAACUACGUG
RNAcentral lists this ribosomal RNA (494 nucleotides) under uncultured bacterium. RNAcentral's name for it is "partial 16S ribosomal RNA". It matches the Rfam family "Bacterial small subunit ribosomal RNA", at positions 28 to 507 of the family's 1533-position model. The record is from RNAcentral.